AUGCACGCUGGCGGCGUGCUUCACACAUGCCAGUCGAACGCUGAAGCCCAGCUUGCUGGGUGGAUUAGUGGCGAACGGGUGAGUAACACGUGAGUAACCUGCCCUUAACUCUGGGAUAAGCCUGGGAAACUGGGUCUAAUACCGGAUAGGAGCGUCCACCGCAUGGUGGGUGUUGGAAAGAUUUAUCGGUUUUGGAUGGACUCGCGGCCUAUCAGCUUGUUGGUGAGGUAAUGGCUCACCAAGGCGACGACGGGUAGCCGGCCUGAGAGGGUGACCGGCCACACUGGGACUGAGACACGGCCCAGACUCCUACGGGGGGCAGCAGUGGGGAAUAUUGCACAAUGGGCGCAAGCCUGAUGCAGCGACGCCGCGUGAGGGAUGACGGCCUUCGGGUUGUAAACCUCUUUCAGUAGGGAAGAAGCGAAAGUGACGGUACCUGCAGAAGAAGCACCGGCUAACUACGUG
RNAcentral lists this ribosomal RNA (465 nucleotides) under uncultured bacterium. Its description in RNAcentral is "partial 16S ribosomal RNA". It matches the Rfam family "Bacterial small subunit ribosomal RNA", at positions 29 to 507 of the family's 1533-position model. The record is from RNAcentral.